Hylaeus volcanicus is the source of this 553-nucleotide long non-coding RNA. RefSeq lists it as uncharacterized. Lineage: Eukaryota; Metazoa; Arthropoda; Insecta; Hymenoptera; Colletidae. The record is from RefSeq and is a predicted model, not a curated record. The transcript is spliced from 3 exons.
AUAGCGAGACAACCAAGUAAAAAUUUUAACGUCCUUUAAAAACUUCAAUUUUCUUUUUAAAAUUAAAAAUUCCUCUUGAUUAAGACUAUAUAUGAAAACAUAACACUAGCAUUGGGGUCUAGCCGAGAUUGUAAUAAAAAUUUUAACGUUUCACUUAGGCAACCUUUACAUGUCUAAUUAUAUCAAAAUAUUUCAAUGACUUAGAAAAAUGAAAAAAAGUCAGUAUUCAACAAAUUCAUUAUGUAUUAACUGUCUUGUUUACUGUCGUUCCCUCAAAUUUUCUACCGCACAAAAACAUGUUCUUAAACAAAUGCUAAAUUUCAAGCGUUUUUUGCAGUUUCGUUAUUUUAAAAUCUUUUAAUGAAGAGUAUAUGCCACUAGCCUUAAUUUGAAAAUAAUAUGCACAAAUGGACCUAUUGCUAAAAAAAUGUUUUACGAAAAUAGUAAUAUUUUUUUUUGUUGCCUCAGCAAGCGAUCCAUAAUACCGAUUUCAAAUUGGGUUAGAAAUCAUUCUAGAUAUUUAACACGAAUUUUUUUAAGUACAGUCCUCAUA